This 504-nucleotide ribosomal RNA is filed under the name uncultured bacterium. RNAcentral's name for it is "bacterial SSU rRNA". It matches the Rfam family "Bacterial small subunit ribosomal RNA", at positions 1025 to 1529 of the family's 1533-position model. The record is from RNAcentral.
ACAGGGGAGACAGGUGGUGCAUGGUUGUCGUCAGCUCGUGUCGUGAGAUGUUGGGUUAAGUCCCGCAACGAGCGCAACCCUUAUCUUUAGUAGCCAGCGGUUUGGCCGGGCACUCUAGAGAGACUGCCAGGGAUAACCUGGAGGAAGGCGGGGAUGACGUCAAAUCAUCAUGCCCCUUAUGAGCAGGGCUACACACGUGCUACAAUGGCGUAAACAAAGGGAGGCGAAGCCGCGAGGUGGAGCAAAUCCCAAAAAUAACGUCUCAGUUCGGAUUGUAGUCUGCAACUCGACUACAUGAAGCUGGAAUCGCUAGUAAUCGCAAAUCAGAAUGUUGCGGUGAAUACGUUCCCGGGUCUUGUACACACCGCCCGUCACACCAUGGGAGUUGGUAACGCCCGAAGUCAGUGACCCAACCGUAAGGAGGGAGCUGCCGAAGGCGGGACUGAUGACUGGGGUGAAGUCGUAACAAGGUAGCCGUAUCGGAAGGUGCGGUUGGAUCACCUC